AGAAUCAACGCCGGCGGCGUGCCUCAGACAUGCAAGUCGAACGAGAAAGUCCCCUUCGGGGGAUAAGUAAAGUGGCGCACGGGUGAGUAACACGUAGGUAAUCUACCUUCGGGUGGGGAAUAACCCAGGGAAACUUGGGCUAACACCGCAUAAUGCAGCGGCACCACAUGGUGACAGUUGUUAAAGCGGGGGAUUUUCGGACCUCGCGCCUGAAGAGGAGCCUGCGGCGGAUUAGCUAGUUGGUAAGGUAAUGGCUUACCAAGGCUACGAUCC
This 273-nucleotide ribosomal RNA is filed under the name uncultured bacterium. RNAcentral's name for it is "partial small subunit ribosomal RNA". It matches the Rfam family "Bacterial small subunit ribosomal RNA", at positions 26 to 282 of the family's 1533-position model. The record is from RNAcentral.